This 250-nucleotide ribosomal RNA is filed under the name uncultured bacterium. Its description in RNAcentral is "partial 16S ribosomal RNA". It matches the Rfam family "Bacterial small subunit ribosomal RNA", at positions 355 to 595 of the family's 1533-position model. The record is from RNAcentral.
UGGGGAAUAUUGGACAAUGGGGGAAACCCUGAUCCAGCAACGCCGCGUGGAGGAUGAAGGUCUUCGGAUUGUAAACUCCUGUUAGGGGGGGCGAAGGGAUGUCGGCGAACAGUCGGCAAACUUGACGGUACCCCCAGAGGAAGCCCCGGCUAACUCUGUGCCAGCAGCCGCGGUAAUACAGAGGGGGCAAGCGAGCGUUAAUCGGAAUUACUGGGCGUAGCGCGCGUAGGUGGUUUGGUAAGCGAUAUGU